UCAGAAAUCAUGGGGAGUUUUGUUCAAAUGCAGAUUCCGAUUCAUUAGGCUCAGAAUGGAGCCUGAAAUUCUGCAUUUCUAGCAAGCUCCCAGGUGUUGCCCUG
This 104-nucleotide microRNA precursor is filed under the name Marmota monax (woodchuck). The record is from RNAcentral. Lineage: Eukaryota; Metazoa; Chordata; Mammalia; Rodentia; Sciuridae.